This 639-nucleotide ribosomal RNA is filed under the name Bacillus safensis. RNAcentral describes it as "bacterial SSU rRNA". It matches the Rfam family "Bacterial small subunit ribosomal RNA", at positions 124 to 749 of the family's 1533-position model. Lineage: Bacteria; Bacillati; Bacillota; Bacilli; Caryophanales; Bacillaceae. The record is from RNAcentral.
ACCUGCCUGUAAGACUGGGAUAACUCCGGGAAACCGGAGCUAAUACCGGAUAGUUCCUUGAACCGCAUGGUUCAAGGAUGAAAGACGGUUUCGGCUGUCACUUACAGAUGGACCCGCGGCGCAUUAGCUAGUUGGUGGGGUAAUGGCUCACCAAGGCGACGAUGCGUAGCCGACCUGAGAGGGUGAUCGGCCACACUGGGACUGAGACACGGCCCAGACUCCUACGGGAGGCAGCAGUAGGGAAUCUUCCGCAAUGGACGAAAGUCUGACGGAGCAACGCCGCGUGAGUGAUGAAGGUUUUCGGAUCGUAAAGCUCUGUUGUUAGGGAAGAACAAGUGCGAGAGUAACUGCUCGCACCUUGACGGUACCUAACCAGAAAGCCACGGCUAACUACGUGCCAGCAGCCGCGGUAAUACGUAGGUGGCAAGCGUUGUCCGGAAUUAUUGGGCGUAAAGGGCUCGCAGGCGGUUUCUUAAGUCUGAUGUGAAAGCCCCCGGCUCAACCGGGGAGGGUCAUUGGAAACUGGGAAACUUGAGUGCAGAAGAGGAGAGUGGAAUUCCACGUGUAGCGGUGAAAUGCGUAGAGAUGUGGAGGAACACCAGUGGCGAAGGCGACUCUCUGGUCUGUAACUGACGCUGA